CACGUUGGGGCUCGACUAAUCCCGAUUCGCGUCAGAAGUCUCAUAUUGGGGGUAAAGCGCUCUCUAACAAAGGCGACUCUGUACCCAGGUACUCGAACUCGAGACCUCUGGUUAAGGAUGAAGGAGUAAUUACCACUCCACCACAACCCUUGUUGGUUAUUGUUUGUACUCCCUUACUGCCUCUCUGUGUCCUUUACCACUCUCACUCUCUUAAAAUUUCUUGUUUUCUCUAUUAAUUCAUCUCAAAAAUACAAAACCUUCAUAUUCUCAUCCUCUAUCUUGAAUCUUCACUUCUAUCCUGUUGAAAUUUCCAUAAAAAAUCUAUUUUCAAUCUUGUGUGAAACAGCAUUACUCCUUUCCAUCUUUCUUGCUUCAUUAUUCAUUAAUUGCUGCAAAAAUUUUAGCCAGAAAAAAGAAAAAAAAAGGCAUGUAAAAUGGAUAAUAUCAGUGAGGAGAAAAAUACAUGAAUACCCUGAACUUUCGUUUGAAAAGUAUAAUACUAGUAAGCUUAUUCAUAUACAGCUUGAGAAAAUGGAGAUUCAUUACCAAUUUCCAAGGGUUACCGCCGGGAUUCGAGCCAUUAUCGGCACCGGCGAGCCGCCGUCUGCCGCUCCCGGAGCUUAUUAGGAUGCCCUCCUUAUUCAGUACGUGUCUCACUUAUAUCUGACGUUGACAAUACGUGUCUCACUUAUAUCUGACAUUGACAACAGAAGAUUCAGAACAACUUUCUCUCUUAUUGAGACCUAUUUGGAUGAGGUUAGUGUUCAAGAAGUACAUGAAAUAUCCUCUUUAAUCUAAGGAAAUGUACAAGAUUUAUCUUUGAAUUUCAUCAACUUGAUAAGUUGAAAUUUUUGCAAAUCUCCUUUGAGUUUUUCAAGAAACAUAGGGAGCUUCUCAUAAAAUGACUAUUCAAUUGAAUAGUACGUUUUAGAAAAUUUAAAAAAAAUAAAAAAUUAAUAGUACAUAGUUAACUUCUUCAUUCAAUCUUUUGCUAAAAAUCCUACUCAUAAUUAAGACUUAUACUCAUCCUUUUCAGCUUUUCGAAUAAAUGCUAAGUGAUGUUAUUCAAAUGUUAUUCUUUAAAAAGUGUGUAAAUGUGUUCCUUAGAACAUGAAUCUUACUCCUGAAUGUCGGUACUAUAAACUUAGAGUUUUAUUAGCAUUUCUUUUAAGUUUAUAUGUGACAUAGUUCUAUAUGUGAUGAAUUCUCAAUAUCGAUUGUGAGAAAAGUAUCAAAUUGAUCUUUAAGGGUAUUGAUUUUGAUAAAACUGUCAAACUUAUCUCAAAAUUUAAAUUCUUAUGUGCUUUUAUAACACGUGUCUCACUUAUAUCUGACGUUGACUACAGAUUAUGAACAACUUACUCUCUCUUAUUGACACCUAUUUGGAUGAAGUUGAUGUUCAAGAAGUACAUGAAAUACCCUCUUCAAUCUAUAGAAAUAUACAAGAUUUGUCUCUGAAUUUCAUCAACUUGAUAAGUUGAAAUUGUUGAAAAUCUCCUUUGAUUUUUUCCAAGAAACAUAGGGAGCUUCUGAGCGGGAAGCGAAAUAGGUAACUUUCUACACAUUUUUUUCUUUUGUUCAGUAUGUAAUUAGCUUCUUCAUUCAAACAUUUAGUUGUUGCUAUUUGAUAAUAUCAGACUGUUUAACCAAAUUAUUCUGUUGUUUUGUGCCAAAACUGGAAUAAAGAGGAGGUCACCAUAUAUGUUCAA
Nicotiana attenuata is the source of this 1709-nucleotide RNA transcript. RefSeq lists it as uncharacterized. The record is from RefSeq and is a predicted model, not a curated record. NCBI's taxonomy places the organism in Eukaryota, Viridiplantae, Streptophyta, Magnoliopsida, Solanales, Solanaceae. The transcript has 2 exons.